RNAcentral lists this ribosomal RNA (426 nucleotides) under uncultured bacterium. RNAcentral's name for it is "bacterial SSU rRNA". It matches the Rfam family "Bacterial small subunit ribosomal RNA", at positions 356 to 774 of the family's 1533-position model. The record is from RNAcentral.
UGGGAAUAUUGGACAAUGGGCGAAAGCCUGAUCCAGCCAUGCCGCGUGUGUGAAGAAGGUCUUCGGAUUGUAAAGCACUUGAAGUUGGGAGGAAGGGCAGUUACCUAAUACGUGAUUGUUUUGACGUUACCGACAGAGUAAGCACCGGCUAACUCUGUGCCAGCAGCCGCGGUAAUACAGAGGGUGCAAGCGUUAAUCGGAAUUACUGGGCGUAAAGCGUGCGUAGGUGGUUAGUUAAGUUGAAUGUGAAAUCCCCGGGCUCAACCUGGGAACUGCAUCCAAAACUGGCAAGCUAGAAUAUGGUGGGGGGUAGUGGAAUUUCCUGUGUAGCGGUGAAAUGCGUAGAUAUAGGAAGGAACACCAGUGACGAAGGCGACUACCUGGACUGAUACUGACACUGAGGUGCAAAAGCGUGGGGAGCAAACA